This 721-nucleotide long non-coding RNA is filed under the name Heterocephalus glaber (naked mole-rat). RNAcentral's name for it is "lncRNA (ENSHGLG00000037176.1)". The record is from RNAcentral. Lineage: Eukaryota; Metazoa; Chordata; Mammalia; Rodentia; Bathyergidae.
CAGCAGCCAUAAUUUAUUGCCACGUGUUGAGAACCUGCUGCAACCCAAGCAUUGCAGUGAGCUCUUUAUUUAUAUCAGUCAGUAUGGCCUCUGCCGUGUCACAGACAGGAUACCAAGGCUCAGAGUGAUGGGCUGCAUGGUUAUAGCCUUCCAAAGUCUAUAAACUGUAUUCUUGACUGCCAAGCUGACAGCCUUCAGAGCUGUGGCCUUGGAGAGGUGAUUAGGUCAUGAGGGUGGCCCCACCCCUCCCGAUUGGAAUUCGUGCCCGUAUGAGGCCCAAAGACCUCUCGCCCUCUUUCAACCAUGUGAGCAUACAAUGAGAAGCCAGAGUUCUGCAGCCCAGAUGAGGGUCUUCACCAUGCUGGCACCCUGCUAUGGUUUAGAUCUGGAAUGUCCCAAAAAGCUCACGUGUUUAGAGGUGGGGCUUUUGGAAGGUGACUGGAUCAGGAGAGCACUAGGCUCAUCAGUGGAUUCAUCUACAGAAGAGUUCAGAGCUGAAUGUGCUGUUAAGAGGUGGGAUCUGGCUGGAAGAGGGAUCCACAGGAGGAAACUGCACAAACACAACAUGGCGCAUUUGAGUAGCUGCAUCCCCAGAAAGACCUGGUGAACACAGUGACAUACAUCAUGGAACUGGAAUUUCUUUCACUCUGGAGGAGCAUCUACUGGGCUCCUCUGGGAGGUUCUGCUGAGCAUGCUACUGGCUGGGGCUGCAGUCCUCAGG